CUCGUAGGCGGUUCGGUAAGUCGGGUGUGAAAACUCUGGGCUCAACCCAGAGAGGCCACCCGAUACUGCUGUGACUUGAGUGCGGUAGGGGAGCGGGGAAUUCAUGGUGUAGCGGUGAAAUGCGCAGAUAUCAUGAGGAACACCAGUGGCGAAGGCGCCGCUCUGGGCCGUAACUGACGCUGAGGAGCGAAAGCGUGGGUAGCAAACA
Molecule: ribosomal RNA, 208 nt
Filed under: uncultured bacterium
Lineage: Bacteria
Description: partial 16S ribosomal RNA
Rfam family: Bacterial small subunit ribosomal RNA
Source: RNAcentral